RNAcentral lists this ribosomal RNA (408 nucleotides) under uncultured bacterium. Its description in RNAcentral is "partial 16S ribosomal RNA". It matches the Rfam family "Bacterial small subunit ribosomal RNA", at positions 29 to 526 of the family's 1533-position model. The record is from RNAcentral.
AGUGAACGCUGGCGGCGUGCCUAAUACAUGCAAGUCGAACGGAGUGGCGCACGGGGGAGAAAUAUAUAGCUAAUCUGCCCCUUUCUGGAGGACAAACGUUAGAAAUGACUGCUAAUACCCCAUAGCAAGGGAUGAGACUAUAUCGUAUCAGCUAGUCGGUGGGGUAACGGCCUACCGAGGCUAUGACGCGUAACUGGUCUGAGAGGAUGAUCAGUCACAUUGGAACGGAGAAACGGUCCAAACUCCUGCGGGAGGCAGCAGUAGGGAAUAUUGCGCAAUGGGGGAAACCCUGACGCAGCAACGCCGCGUGGAGGAUGACACUUUUCGGAGCGUAAACUCCUUUUGUUAGGGAAGCGGUACCUAACGAAUAAGCACCGGCUAACUCCGUGCCAGCAGCCGCGGUAAUUC